RNAcentral lists this long non-coding RNA (1572 nucleotides) under Malus domestica (apple). RNAcentral's name for it is "long non-coding RNA (MDOM_LNC017979)". The record is from RNAcentral. Lineage: Eukaryota; Viridiplantae; Streptophyta; Magnoliopsida; Rosales; Rosaceae.
GACUCCCUCACCUUCAACGCCAUAAGUCGAGCCAACCAAGGCAACAUAAGCCAUAAGCCAAGUAGCCUCGCAACAUGUACUACUUCUAGUUUAGCAUCAUUUCAGAUUGAGCACUGCCUCAUAUCGAGUGUCAGUCCUAGACGACAUCUAGUUACUUCAGCCCACACAUGGACUGAGUUUCAAGUCUCCAGCCAAAAGACUCUCUUGACUGAAGACUUGGGGGACUACUGUUUGUACCAUACUUAAGGCCUCUGUAUUUAGAUCUCGUAUAAAUACUCAGGGGACUCAAAUGUAAUUAUGUAAUAAAGGAAGGGGAAAAUAUGUAAUAAGUGAGGAGCCCUUAUUCUAUAAAAGGACUCCUCACUCUCCUCAUUUGGAAGAGGCUAAUUCUUAGGCCUGGCCCCUCACCCUCUUAAAGCCUCUUAUACUCUGAGAUUCAGAGCUCUCAUCCUCACAGAGAAGCUCUCUCUAUCUUCUUCAACAUCUCAGAGAAAUACAAUAUCAGUGUGGACGUAGCCCAAACAUUGGGGUGAACCACGAUACAUCUUGUAUUCUUUACUUUCUUGCAGAUUCACGGUCGGAUUUACGUUGUUCCAAGACCCCUCCGGUUUUGUGCAUCAACAUUUCCGUAUUUAGAUCUCGUAUAAAUACUCGGUGGACUCAAAUGUAAUUAUGUAAUAAAGGAAUGGGCAAAUAUGUAAUAAGUGAGGAGCCCUUAUUCUAUAAAAAGACCCCUCACUCUCCUCAUUAAGGGAGGCCAAUUCUUAGACCAUAGGAAAUGACUCAUCCUCACAAUCAGAUGAAGCCUCACUCCCAUAGUCAGAGCCUCACUCUCCUAUUCAGAGGCUCUCUCAUCCUCUCUCGCCCUCACAAAGAAAUACAAUAUCAGUGUGGACGUAGCCCAAACAUUGGGGUGAACCACGAUACAUCUUGUGUUCUUUACUUUCUUGCAGAUUCACGGUGGGAUUUACGUUGUUCCAAGACCCCUCCGGUUUUGUGCAUCAACACAACUAUUUAUCUUAACAAACUCCGACCUUGAACGUCUAACAAAUAUGUUGACUUAUUCAAUGUUUGUGAUUGAUUAAAUAUUCUUCGGGUUCACAACCCUCAUCGUCAAUUAGUUUUUGGAUGAAGCCUCAACUUUUUUCACAAUAUCAUUGUAGGUUUGUCCACAUGUGAUGAAGCCUUCGCCAAGCUUAAAUUGUCCACAAGAUUCACGUAAAAAAAUGUUAUCAUGAAAAAAAUGGGAUCCAAUUUUAUAGUAGUAUCAAAUGAGAAUAAAAUGAUUAGCCAAUUGUAAAAUUUAACUCACUCCGUCACUUUUUAACGUAGAUAAUAAAUAUUGAAGACCUUAAAAAAAUGAGAAUCAAAUCAGAUACCUUUUACAUUAACAAAUUAACAAACAACAAACUUUAUAUGGGCUUAGAUUACUCAACCUAGUUUUAAUUAGUUUUAAAAAUGAACUCUUAACUUACUUUAAUUGUGAACUAAAAUAAACUAAGCGAACCGAUUAGAUAAAACAAAAGUAUCUGGUUGGCCCCUAAGUAAAGAAAUAUUUGACCUAUCAUUCGU